Molecule: transfer RNA, 72 nt
Filed under: bacterium
Lineage: Bacteria
Description: tRNA-Glu
Rfam family: tRNA
About the family: Transfer RNA (tRNA) molecules are approximately 80 nucleotides in length. Their secondary structure includes four short double-helical elements and three loops (D, anti-codon, and T loops).
Source: RNAcentral
GCCCCUGUCGUCUAGUGGUUAGGACGCAUGGUUCUCAUCCAUGCAACCGGAGUUCGAUUCUCCGCAGGGGCG